CAGCCGUAAACUAUGCGCGUUAGGUGUACUGGUGACCACGAGUCACCGGGGUGCCGAAGGGAAACCGUGAAACGUGCCGCCUGGGAAGUACGGUCGCAAGGCUGAAACUUAAAGGAAUUGGCGGGGGAGCACCACAACAGGUGGAGCCUGCGGUUUAAUUGGACUCAACGCCGGGAAGCUCACCGGAUAGGACAGCAGAAUGAAGGCCAAGCUGAAGACUUUGCCGGAUUAGCUGAGAGGAGGUGCAUGGCGUAGUCGUGU
This 261-nucleotide ribosomal RNA is filed under the name uncultured archaeon. RNAcentral describes it as "partial 16S ribosomal RNA". It matches the Rfam family "Archaeal small subunit ribosomal RNA", at positions 748 to 1009 of the family's 1478-position model. The record is from RNAcentral.